GAUUAACGCUAGCGGCAGGCCUAAUACAUGCAAGUCGAACGGCAGCGGGUCCAGCAAUGGAUGCCGGCGAGUGGCGCACGGGUGCGUAACACGUAUGCAAUCUACCCUUAACUGGGGGACAGCCCCGAGAAAUCGGGAUUAUUACCCCAUAAUAUUAUGAUGAGGCAUCUCAUUAUAAUUAAAGCUCCGGUGGUUUUGGAUGAGCAUGCGCGACAUUAGUUAGUUGGUGGGGUAACGGCUCACCAAGGCAGCGAUGUCUAGGGGUUCUGAGAGGAUUCACCCCCACACUGGUACCGAGACACGGACCAGACUCCUACGGGAGGCAGCAGUAGGGAAUUUUGGACAAUGGGCGCAAGCCUGAUCCAGCAAUGCCGCGUGCAGGAUGAAGGCCUUCGGGUUGUAAACUGCUUUUGUACGGAACGAAACGGUGAGCUCUAAUACAGUUUGCUAAUGACGGUACCGUAAGAAUAAGCACCGGCUAACUACGUGCCAGCCGCCGCUGUAA
This 505-nucleotide ribosomal RNA is filed under the name uncultured bacterium. RNAcentral describes it as "partial 16S ribosomal RNA". It matches the Rfam family "Bacterial small subunit ribosomal RNA", at positions 28 to 523 of the family's 1533-position model. The record is from RNAcentral.